CCAGUGGGUCACCUUAAUCCAGGCUCUUGCUGCUCGACCUGGAGGUCCUCCACAUAUUCGACUUACAGGAAUUGAUGAUUCAACAUCAGCUUAUGCUCGUGGAGGAGGACUUGAUGUAGUGGGGAAGAGACUAUCAAGGCUUGCUGAGUCGUGUAAUGUACCCUUUGAGUUCCAUGCUGCUGCAGUUUCUGCUUCUGAAAUUCAACUGGAGAAUCUUGGAAUUCAGCCUGGUGAAGCUAUUGCAGUUAAUUUUGCAUUAACACUUCACCACUUGCCUGAUGAAAGUGUGGGUACUCAAAAUCAUCGGGACAGGCUGUUGAGGUUGGCCAAGAGCUUAUCUCCCAAGGUAGUAACUCUUGUUGAGCAAGAAUCCAAUACUAAUACUGCCCCGUUCCUUCCCCG
Molecule: unclassified non-coding RNA, 402 nt
Filed under: Hevea brasiliensis (rubber tree)
Lineage: Eukaryota; Viridiplantae; Streptophyta; Magnoliopsida; Malpighiales; Euphorbiaceae
Source: RNAcentral